RNAcentral lists this ribosomal RNA (442 nucleotides) under Micrococcus sp. oral taxon F54. RNAcentral describes it as "bacterial SSU rRNA". It matches the Rfam family "Bacterial small subunit ribosomal RNA", at positions 28 to 481 of the family's 1533-position model. Lineage: Bacteria; Bacillati; Actinomycetota; Actinomycetes; Micrococcales; Micrococcaceae. The record is from RNAcentral.
GAUGAACGCUGGCGGCGUGCUUAACACAUGCAAGUCGAACGAUGAAGCCCAGCUUGCUGGGUGGAUUAGUGGCGAACGGGUGAGUAACACGUGAGUAACCUGCCCUUGACUCUGGGAUAAGCCCGGGAAACUGGGUCUAAUACCGGAUAGGAGCGCCUGUCGCAUGACGGGUGCUGGAAAGAUUUUUCGGUCAUGGAUGGACUCGCGGCCUAUCAGCUUGUUGGUGAGGUAAUGGCUCACCAAGGCGACGACGGGUAGCCGGCCUGAGAGGGUGACCGGCCACACUGGGACUGAGACACGGCCCAGACUCCUACGGGAGGCAGCAGUGGGGAAUAUUGCACAAUGGGCGGAAGCCUGAUGCAGCGACGCCGCGUGAGGGAUGACGGCCUUUCGGGUUGUAAACCUUCUUUCAGCAGGGAAGAAAGCGAAAAUGACGGACCUG